This 210-nucleotide ribosomal RNA is filed under the name uncultured Cellulomonas sp. RNAcentral describes it as "partial 16S ribosomal RNA". It matches the Rfam family "Bacterial small subunit ribosomal RNA", at positions 1174 to 1382 of the family's 1533-position model. Lineage: Bacteria; Bacillati; Actinomycetota; Actinomycetes; Micrococcales; Cellulomonadaceae. The record is from RNAcentral.
UGGGGAUGACGUCAAAGUCAUCAUGCCCCUUAUGUCUUGGGCUUCACGCAUGCUACAAUGGCCGGUACAAAGGGCUGCGAUACCGCGAGGUGGAGCGAAUCCCAGAAAGCCGGUCUCAGUUCGGAUUGGGUCUGCAACUCGACCCCAUGAAGUCGGAGUCGCUAGUAAUCGCAGAUCAGCAACGCUGCGGUGAAUACGUUCCCGGGCCUU